UAAAAAUUCACGAUGUUCCUCCUGGGCUCCUGACCUGCUGACCCGUCGGCUCUGCAGACAUUUCUCCCGGAUGCCUCACAGAUCCAGAGAUCAGGAAUAA
Molecule: long non-coding RNA, 100 nt
Organism: Neomonachus schauinslandi (Hawaiian monk seal)
Lineage: Eukaryota; Metazoa; Chordata; Mammalia; Carnivora; Phocidae
Exons: 3
Source: RefSeq, a predicted model, not a curated record